RNAcentral lists this long non-coding RNA (374 nucleotides) under Brassica rapa (field mustard). RNAcentral describes it as "long non-coding RNA (BRAP_LNC008141)". Lineage: Eukaryota; Viridiplantae; Streptophyta; Magnoliopsida; Brassicales; Brassicaceae. The record is from RNAcentral.
GCGCAUCUCCAUCUGAUCUUGGACUCUCUUCUCCUUGUGUCUCUCCUUGAUCAUGACUUCCUGAAUCACUUUGCUGUUGUUGUUGCACUCCUGAUUCAGCUUCACUUCCCCCCUCAUGAUCAAGAGGGGACAUCCUUUCACUUUCCUCCUCAUGAGUACUUGUGCUUCUUGGUGGUUCUCUUCUUGUUCCCUGAUCCUGGGUCAUGCUAAUCCCAAGAUUCUCCAAUAUUUUCCUCAGAUUUGUUGCCUUAUCUGAUGGCGUUUGUGGAAGAUCCUUCAAAUCUUCCCAUAUCUUUUCUUCAUAAUACCCUUUUCCUUCAAUGAAUUUGACAUCUCUAGACACCAACACCCUCCCUGUUAUUGGAUCAUAGCAC